CGGGAACGGCACCGGACGGGGCGGGGCGGCUGGAGAGGGGACAGGCAUGGCAGUUCCAGGCUACGGGCACGGUUGGCACAGGGGACCGGGGACCAGGCCAGCACAAGGGACAGGCCCCGCUGAGGCUCCGGGGGCGGCUGCGCUCCAGCCGGCGCGCGGACAGGAGCCGGCGCAGGGACGAGGUGGAGCUCAGGUCCCCACAGCUCUGCAGGUGGAUUCCUUCGUGGGGCCGCUCCGCGCCCGGCCAGGCACUCCAGGGAACCUGCAAACCCAUGGGGAUGGGCUGGAGCCGUGGGACUGACACCCCUGCCUGUGGCACCCUCUCGUGCUCACCUCCCCCCCGAGCUCGCAGCCCCCACGCUCUGGUUCAGCUGGACGGCACACAGGGCAGGAGGGCAGAGGUGACAGGGAUGGCAGAGGCGGGCAUCACACGCCCAAGGUGGCAUUUGGGACAGGCUCGUUCCCGUCAGGGCCUCCCGGGCUGCGCAAGGUGUCAAACCUCCCGUAAGCCGAGUUGUCAGAAUGUGCCUCUGGGUGCGGUGACUCAGGAGCAAAGACAAAGCCCUUGCGACAGGCACGAUUUUCCCACUCCUAACUCCGGUGGGGAUCAAGGGAAAGGAGCUGCUCCCCAAGAAGGGCUGGGAAAGGGCAGUGCCGUGGGAAGGAGGCUCUGCCUGCAGCUGAAGUGCUGACAGCGGUGGCAGCUUGGUCUUGCCCACCGAGCCGGCCCGGAGCAGCGGCGGGGAGUCACAGUGGGAACGGCGGAGCAGGCAGGCCUCGGAGCACAGCCCUGCGGGGACGCCACUGUCAGAGCCAGGACACUGCUCCUGAAUGACCCAUCCCUGUCCUCAGACCCGGGACACUGCCCUGAUGGACCUGUCUCCAUCCUCAGACCCCAGGACACUGCUCUGACAGACCCAUCCCUGUCCCCAGACCCAGGACACUGCUCCUGGCAGACCUGUCCCCACAGCCCCCGGGGUCAUGGUGUCUCCCCUCGCCAGCCAGUGGGAGCAGUCCCACCACAAGUCUUCAUUGCUCCAGCCCCAGCAGGAUGGGCCUGAUCCCCAAAGGGCUGCAGAAAUGCUCCCCCCACCCCUGUGUCUAUCCCAUUACAUCCCAGUGCCCUGACCUGUAUCGGCGGAGGAGUCAGACACGGUGUCCUCCAGUGCUUUGGUAUAAAGUACUUCCCUGAAAUCUGCUGGGAGCAGAGAGAGCCCUCAGGCUUCGGCAGCUGUGCGGACCCCAAGCUGCACGACCCCUUCCCCAGCACCCUCCCGCUGCCCCCAUUCCUCCCCACCCGCCUCAGCCUGGCUCCAAUCCCACGGGGCCGCGGAGAAACGCAGCCAAACCCUGCGGCACAUCCCGGGGCUGCCCCGAACAGACCCUGCCACACGCACCUUGGUCAUUGCCACCUACCAGCAUGGCCGGCCAGAGGGACGCCGGGGUCGCUGUGGGACCUCAGCAGCGGGCACGGGGCCAGCCCCGGGGCGGGGGACGAGGGGCACGAGGUCUCGCUGUUGCGCCGGGGGUGGCCCGGGCGCCCGGCGCCGGGGUCCGUGGGGCGGCCGCCCCCCCGCCCCUGCAGCGAGCCCUUGUCCUUGAGCCGCACCUCGGGGAAGCAGGGCCCGGCGCAGCGCGCCAGCCCCGCCAGCCGGUUGCAGCUGUGGGUGACGGCUCCCCCCACCAGGACGCCGUCGUGGCCGGGCUCCGCCGUGGAGCAGGAGUAGGAGCGCUCGCCCCGCGCGCGGGGCUGGGGGGUCUCCUCGAAGGGGCCCUGCAGGCCCAGCGUGGGGCUGCGGGCGUGGUGGCUGCACUGCACGCAGUCCACGCUCAGGCAGUAAUCGGCGCGGCUGCGCUGGAUGGAGCGGAACAGCACGUAGUCGACGGAGCGCAUGGAGCCCUGCAGCUCCAGCAGGCACGAGUCCUCCGAGGGGCUGCUGUCCCCGGGGAUGUCCAUGAUCUCGGACAUGAUCAGGGAGCCGCUGUCCAUGGACACUGUGAGGAGCGGAGGAGCACCAGUGAAGGGCUGCAGGGAAGGGCCGGUCCCCCCGCGGCCCCCCGUGCCCGUGGGGAACACUCACCUUCUCCGCUGAGCACAAUGGAGGGGACGCGGUCGCAGGUGCAGGCGUGUGAACCCUCUGUCAGCUGCGAGUCGUACAGGGUGGCCUGUGGGGCAACACGCUCAGGGCUCAGCCAAGCAGAGCCCACCCUGCCUGGCCUCCCCUGCCCACAGCCCCCCGGGCCCCCACCUGGCUGUCCCCCCGCAGCCCCAUGACGGUCUCGUAGGAUGGAGGGAAGUCAGUCGGGUAGAGGGGCACGGGGCUGUCCAUGGAGCCAUUGUAGGUGAUGCUGCAGAGGCAAGAGCAGCAAUGACACGUCUGGUGGGACAAGCCCUGCCUGGGGGCACACAGACACACACACACACCCCCCCUCCACCGGCCUCGCCCCCAGGUGGUACCUCUGUGCGUCUGUCUCGGAGCUGCAAGUGUACUCAGGUGGGUAGUAGGGGGGUGGUGGCACUGGGGGCACGAACUCCUCGAAGUCCAUCAUGCUCUGCAGGAAGGUGUCAGGGGGGGACGUGCAUUCCAGCGUCACAGAGCUCGAGCGCUGCGGGACCAGCUGCAGGGAGAAGGGAGAGCUGGAACUCCCCUGCCCAGAGGUCCAGCAAGGGAUGCACAUUCUGGGCUUUAAUCUGCGAAUGGGGCCAAGUCCUGUCCUGGCACUCCGGGUUCCCCCCAGCCUGGGAGCACUGCUCCCCAGCCCCGUCUGUUCCCAGGCCAGGGCUGGGACUCACCACAUGGACGAUGUCGAGGGAGAAGAUGCGGAUGCAGCAGACGACAGCAGAGAGUGUGCAGAUGACGGUGGAGAAGACGGUCAAGCCGCAGACACUGAAGAGGAGGUCCUGGGGAGCAGUGGGGUGAGCUGCAGAGGCCACAGAGCACAGUGGGGUGCACAGCCGCUGCCCUUGUCCCCCCCUGGACCCCCACCUUGAGCGCCACGCGGAUGCUUCGGCAGUUGGGGUUGGGGAACAUGGUCAGCAUCUCGCUCUGUUGGCUGCAGGAGGCGGGCGGGGGCUCCGAGCGGGCCUGGCAGCAGACACACGAGUCCCUCUCCUGGCGACAAGGAACACCAUGAGGGACCUCCCGCGAGAGCCACCGGCACGUCCCGCCGCCAGACCCCGGCUCUGCAGCUCCCCCUGUCCCCAAGCCCUGCAGCAAGGGACGAGCUGAGAGCGGAGGCCCGGGGGGCUCCGGGGCUGCCCCCGCUCAGCCUCACCCUCUCGCAGGCCUCCAGGGACUUCACCAGCUGCGCGUUCUGGCAGGACAGGAUGGAGCCAGCCAGGCUCAGCAUGACGCCCAGCACCGACAGCAGCGUGAAGAAGGCGAUCUGCAGCGGGAGGAGAGGGGCUGCCGGCCACGCAGGGCUGCGGAGCAGGGAGCCGACACACACGGCUGCAGGGGCACGAGGGGCUGCUCGGCCUCCCCAUCCUGGACUUCCCCACAUGCGGAGGGGGUGUCGUCCCCCCCCAACACCUACCACCAGGGUGAACGGCCGCUUCCAGGAGACGAUGCCGACGAGCCCGGACAGCGCCAGCUGCAGACGCACAAACCCCAGGGUGAGGGUAGGGAGGGGUCUCUGCCAGGCAAUGGGGCCCCGAGCAGCCCCUGCCCACGGGCAGAGCCCCCCCGAUCCCUGGGGGGCCCGUAGCCAGCCCAGGAGCAGCAGGGCUGGAGGGCCAGCCGUGGGAGAAGCAAGCUGGGAGAAACUGCUGAUUCAGGGCCUGGGGGCUGCGGGCAGCUCCGAACUGGGCAGCAAACCCGGGCCACGAUCCGAGCUGCAGGGUCACCGCGGGGGACCCCGGGUCCUGCCCUCCCCCAGUACACAGCAUGUAGAGCAGAGGCCCCCUCGCUGUCCGGCCCCUGCCCUGUCACCACUGUGCUGCCCCUCCUUGCAAACCUCAACGUGUUCCUCGACAGCCCCUGCUCGGGGGUCCCCAUCCCUCACAGAGUGACCCUGGGGGACACCUUGGGAUUCUCCCACAAUGCACCGCGGCAGCCACGGGCAGAGGGUGGGGGAGCAGCGGGGCUGCUCUCCCCUGGGACCGGCGGCAAGCUCGGCCCCCGGGGAGCCGUGCGGCCCCCUCCCCGCACCGCGCCGGCCCCGCACUCACCGAGAAGCCGGCCCAGGAGGGGCAGGAGUGCCGGAUCUUGGUGGAGGGCGUGAUGGUGGCCGCCACCAGGCUGAAGGUGACGAUGAGGACGCCCAGGAUGGCUUGGAUGAGGCCCAGGACCAGCAGGACCUGCAGCCAGGUGCGCUGGAGCCGGAGUGGUCUCAGAGAUCUGAACCACGCAAACAAGUGCAGCACUGUCAGGGGCUGUAGAGGAAGACAAAAGCCACCCAAAUUCAGCCUCCCUGGCACUCGCUUCAGGUCAAGUGUGGCUAUGGGAAGAAGUGCCCCAACGCACCUUUUUCAGCAUAAUGAUGCCCAGCACAGCCACUGCCGUGAAGGACAAGGCCACCAGGAUCAUCAUCACCGCCACAGCCGUGUUUGUCCGCAGCGCUAUCAGGCUCAGGAUCCAGCCACUGCAAAAACAAGAGCCUGUUAUUGCCCCCAGAGUUCCCUCUUCCCCACCCUCCUCCCGCCUUGCCAGGGUCCUGGGCCAGCCUGGGGUCAGCACACAGCUCACCUGAAUCCCCAGUUUGGGAUGCCAAUGGCCUGCAGCACGUACAUCACAUUCUGGGCAAAGAACACGAAGAAGAAGACAAAGAAGUUGAAGGAACUGUCGCUCCUGGGAGGAAGAGACAUGCAAAGUUAGGCUGCAGGAAAAGAGCUCUUAAAAAUUCCUUAGAGCAGGGGGACAGCGUGGAAACCCCACAUCCCGCAGAGCCAGAGGCCCCAGGGAGCUGCAGCAGGUACCCCCAGCUCGGGCACACACCUGAAAGCUUUGUACAUGGGCCGGUACCAGCAGACAAAGGAACAGGGCGUGUAGAGCAGAGCCCAGAGGAUGGAGAGGCCAAACCCGGACCCGGACGAGGGAUCCACGCAGAACCAGGCCAGCGAGGACAGGAAGUUCAGGAAGAGGGUAAUGGUGCUGGCUGAGGGACAGGACAGCGCUCAGGAGCCUGUGGGGCUCACCUCACCCCACCCCAGACCAGGCACCACCCGCUCAUCCCAAUUUUCCCCAGAGCAACAGCACAGGACACUCAUUCCCCUGCUCCCUCCCUGGGUCUGUCCCGAGAUUCCCGGGCUGCACUCACCCAUCCAGAGGUAGUACAUGGUGGUAACGGUCUUCUGGAAGUCAGCAGGGAUCUCGACAGGGAUGUCCUGGUAGAAGCAGGGCUUCACGGGGCAGAAGGACGGCAGCGGGGGCCAGUUGUUGAGCCUCGCUGCGGAGGGAAGGGGGUGAGGAGGGGGGGCGGCUCCGAGGGGGCGGCCGCCCCUCCCCGGCCCCGCGGCCACACUCACUCUGUGACCCGCCGAGGGCCGCGUUCUGCAGCUCCCGCUCCCGCCGGUCCAGCUCCUCCGCUUUCCGGUUCAGCUCCUCCUGCCGCUUCAGCAGCUCCGCCGUGGCGGCGGCGGCCGAGGCCUGGGCAGGGGGGGACACAGACCCUGGGCUCCCGCCGCCGCCCCCCGGGUGCCCCCGGCCCGGCGGCGCCUCCCCCCGUACCUGCGAGCCGUAGGAGCCGUAGUUGCGGGGCUCGGUGGGACUCGCCUUCCGCGGGGGCUGCGCGGCCGCCGGGACCGGGGGCGGCGGGGCCACCGACGGCGUCUGGAACGGCGGCGGAGGCUGCGGGGGGAGAGGGGAGCGGUGAGGCUCCGGGAAAGCGCUCCGGUCCCCGAGAAUGGCCUCGGUCCACCGGGAAGGCCCCGGGCAGGCCCCGGUCCUCCCGAGCGCUCACCGCGUCGCUCUCGAAGGGGUUGUACCCGUCCAGCGCGGCUCCGGGACGCGGCUGCAGCGCCGCGGGGUCCUGGAAGGGGUUGUCGUCCGGGAGCACGGCGGGGCCGCCGCCGCCGCGCUGGGCCAUGGCGGGACCGGGGACCGGGGACGGGGAACCGGGACCGGGAGCGCGCGCG
Molecule: long non-coding RNA, 6076 nt
Organism: Pseudopipra pipra
Lineage: Eukaryota; Metazoa; Chordata; Aves; Passeriformes; Pipridae
Exons: 4
Source: RefSeq, a predicted model, not a curated record